RNAcentral lists this ribosomal RNA (1120 nucleotides) under uncultured Bacillus sp. Its description in RNAcentral is "bacterial SSU rRNA". It matches the Rfam family "Bacterial small subunit ribosomal RNA", at positions 229 to 1342 of the family's 1533-position model. Lineage: Bacteria; Bacillati; Bacillota; Bacilli; Caryophanales; Bacillaceae. The record is from RNAcentral.
ACCCGCGGCGCAUUAGCUAGUUGGUGGGGUAAUGGCUCACCAAGGCGACGAUGCGUAGCCGACCUGAGAGGGUGAUCGGCCACACUGGGACUGAGACACGGCCCAGACUCCUACGGGAGGCAGCAGUAGGGAAUCUUCCGCAAUGGACGAAAGUCUGACGGAGCAACGCCGCGUGAGUGAUGAAGGUUUUCGGAUCGUAAAGCUCUGUUGUUAGGGAAGAACAAGUGCGAGAGUAACUGCUCGCACCUUGACGGUACCUAACCAGAAAGCCACGGCUAACUACGUGCCAGCAGCCGCGGUAAUACGUAGGUGGCAAGCGUUGUCCGGAAUUAUUGGGCGUAAAGGGCUCGCAGGCGGUUUCUUAAGUCUGAUGUGAAAGCCCCCGGCUCAACCGGGGAGGGUCAUUGGAAACUGGGAAACUUGAGUGCAGAAGAGGAGAGUGGAAUUCCACGUGUAGCGGUGAAAUGCGUAGAGAUGUGGAGGAACACCAGUGGCGAAGGCGACUCUCUGGUCUGUAACUGACGCUGAGGAGCGAAAGCGUGGGGAGCGAACAGGAUUAGAUACCCUGGUAGUCCACGCCGUAAACGAUGAGUGCUAAGUGUUAGGGGGUUUCCGCCCCUUAGUGCUGCAGCUAACGCAUUAAGCACUCCGCCUGGGGAGUACGGUCGCAAGACUGAAACUCAAAGGAAUUGACGGGGGCCCGCACAAGCGGUGGAGCAUGUGGUUUAAUUCGAAGCAACGCGAAGAACCUUACCAGGUCUUGACAUCCUCUGACAACCCUAGAGAUAGGGCUUUCCCUUCGGGGACAGAGUGACAGGUGGUGCAUGGUUGUCGUCAGCUCGUGUCGUGAGAUGUUGGGUUAAGUCCCGCAACGAGCGCAACCCUUGAUCUUAGUUGCCAGCAUUCAGUUGGGCACUCUAAGGUGACUGCCGGUGACAAACCGGAGGAAGGUGGGGAUGACGUCAAAUCAUCAUGCCCCUUAUGACCUGGGCUACACACGUGCUACAAUGGACAGAACAAAGGGCUGCAAGACCGCAAGGUUUAGCCAAUCCCAUAAAUCUGUUCUCAGUUCGGAUCGCAGUCUGCAACUCGACUGCGUGAAGCUGGAAUCGCUAGUAAU